This 459-nucleotide ribosomal RNA is filed under the name uncultured bacterium. RNAcentral describes it as "partial 16S ribosomal RNA". It matches the Rfam family "Bacterial small subunit ribosomal RNA", at positions 338 to 795 of the family's 1533-position model. The record is from RNAcentral.
CCUACGGGUGGCAGCAGUGAGGAAUAUUGGUCAAUGGUCGGGAGACUGAACCAGCCAAGCCGCGUGAGGGAUGAAGGUACAGAGUAUCGUAAACCUCUUUUGUCAGGGAACAAAGGCGGGGACGUGUCCCCGGAUGAGUGUACCUGAAGAAAAAGCAUCGGCUAACUCCGUGCCAGCAGCCGCGGUAAUACGGGGGAGGCGAGCGUUAUCCGGAUUUAUUGGGUUUAAAGGGUGCGCAGGCGGUCUGUUAAGUCAGCGGUAAAAGCCCGGGGCUCAACCCCGGCCCGCCGUUGAAACUGGCAGUCUCGAGUUGGAGAGAAGUAUGCGGAAUGCGCGGUGUAGCGGUGAAAUGCAUAGAUAUCGCGCAGAACUCCGAGUGCGAAGGCAGCAUGCCGGCUCCACACUGACGCUGAGGCACGAAAGCGUGGGUAUCGAACAGGAUUAGAUACCCCUGUAGUC